Molecule: ribosomal RNA, 252 nt
Filed under: uncultured bacterium
Lineage: Bacteria
Description: partial 16S ribosomal RNA
Rfam family: Bacterial small subunit ribosomal RNA
Source: RNAcentral
UACGGAGGGUGCAAGCGUUAUCCGGAUUCACUGGGUUUAAAGGGUGCGUAGGUGGGAAUGUAAGUCAGUGGUGAAAUCUUCGUGCUUAACAUGGAACUGCCAUUGAUACUAUGUUUCUUGAAUUUUCUGGAGGUAAGCGGAAUAUGUCAUGUAGCGGUGAAAUGCUUAGAUAUGACAUAGAACACCAAUUGCGAAGGCAGCUUGCUACAGGGAUAUUGACACUGAGGCACGAAAGCGUGGGGAUCAAACAGG